GAAAUGCGAUAAGUAAUGUGAAUUGCAGAAUUCAGUGAAUCAUCGAAUCUUUGAACGCACAUUGCGCCCCCUGGUAUUCCGGGGGGCAUGCCUGUUCGAGCGUCAUUUCACCACUUAAGCCUCGCUUGGUAUUGGGCGACGCGGUCCGCCGCGCGCCUCAAAUCGACCGGCUGGGUCUUUCGUCCCCUCAGCGUUGUGGAAACUAUUCGCUAAAGGGUGCCGCGGGAGGCCACGCCGUAAAACAACCCCAUUUCUAAGGUUGACCUCGGAUCAGGUAGGGAUACCCGCUGAACUUAAGC
Molecule: unclassified non-coding RNA, 299 nt
Filed under: plant metagenome
Description: partial contains 5.8S ribosomal RNA, internal transcribed spacer 2, and large subunit ribosomal RNA
Rfam family: 5.8S ribosomal RNA (bases 1-105)
Source: RNAcentral